Molecule: non-coding RNA, 76 nt
Organism: Myotis davidii
Lineage: Eukaryota; Metazoa; Chordata; Mammalia; Chiroptera; Vespertilionidae
Source: Rfam
GGCGGUUCUUGGGUGACACACUCCGGGAUCAGGCUCCCUCCUCUCUGGUUCCAGGUGCAUCACCCGAGAACCGGCA